RNAcentral lists this ribosomal RNA (253 nucleotides) under uncultured bacterium. RNAcentral's name for it is "partial 16S ribosomal RNA". It matches the Rfam family "Bacterial small subunit ribosomal RNA", at positions 524 to 776 of the family's 1533-position model. The record is from RNAcentral.
UACGGGGGGGGCAAGCGUUGUUCGGAAUUACUGGGCGUAAAGGGCUCGUAGGCGGCCAACUAAGUCAGACAUGAAAUCCCUCGGCUUAACCGGGGAACUGCGUCUGAUACUGGAUGGCUAGAGGUUGGGAGAGGGAUGCGGAAUUCCAGGUGUAGCGGUGAAAUGCGUAGAUAUCUGGAGGAACACCGGUGGCGAAGGCGGCAUCCUGGACCAAUUCUGACGCUGAGGAGCGAAAGCCAGGGGAGCAAACGGG